UUAAGCGACUAAGCGUACACGGUGGAUGCCCUGGCAGUCAGAGGCGAUGAAGGGCGUGCUAAUCUGCGAUAAGCGCCGGUAAGGUGAUAUGAACCGUUAUAACCGGCGAUACCCGAAUGGGGAAACCCAGUGUGACUCGUCACACUAUCAUUAACUGAAUCCAUAGGUUAAUGAGGCGAACCGGGGGAACUGAAACAUCUAAGUACCCCGAGGAAAAGAAAUCAACCGAGAUUCCCCCAGUAGCGGCGAGCGAACGGGGAGGAGCCCAGAGCCUGAAUCAGCAUAUGUGUUAGUGGAAGCGUCUGGAAAGGCGCGCGAUACAGGGUGACAGCCCCGUACACAAAAGCGCAUGUGCUGUGAGCUCGAUGAGUAGGGCGGGACACGUGGUAUCCUGUCUGAAUAUGGGGGGACCAUCCUCCAAGGCUAAAUACUCCUGACUGACCGAUAGUGAACCAGUACCGUGAGGGAAAGGCGAAAAGAACCCCGGCGAGGGGAGUGAAAAAGAACCUGAAACCGUGUACGUACAAGCAGUGGGAGCACCCUUUGGGGUGUGACUGCGUACCUUUUGUAUAAUGGGUCAGCGACUUAUAUUCUGUAGCAAGGUUAACCGAAUAGGGGAGCCGGAGGGAAACCGAGUCUUAAUUGGGCGUUAAGUUGCAGGGUAUAGACCCGAAACCCGGUGAUCUAGCCAUGGGCAGGUUGAAGGUUGGGUAACACUAACUGGAGGACCGAACCGACUAAUGUUGAAAAAUUAGCGGAUGACCUGUGGCUGGGGGUGAAAGGCCAAUCAAACCGGGAGAUAGCUGGUUCUCCCCGAAAGCUAUUUAGGUAGCGCCUCGUGAAUUCAUCUCCGGGGGUAGAGCACUGUUUCGGCUAGGGGGCCAUCCCGGCUUACCAACCCGAUGCAAACUGCGAAUACCGGAGAAUGUUAUCACGGGAGACACACGGCGGGUGCUAACGUCCGUCGUGAAGAGGGAAACAACCCAGACCGCCAGCUAAGGUCCCAAAGUCAUGGUUAAGUGGGAAACGAUGUGGGAAGGCCCAGACAGCCAGGAUGUUGGCUUAGAAGCAGCCAUCAUUUAAAGAAAGCGUAAUAGCUCACUGGUCGAGUCGGCCUGCGCGGAAGAUGUAACGGGGCUAAACCAUGCACCGAAGCUGCGGCAGCGACGCUGAUGCGUUGUUGGGUAGGGGAGCGUUCUGUAAGCCUGCGAAGGUGGCCUGUGAGGGUUGCUGGAGGUAUCAGAAGUGCGAAUGCUGACAUAAGUAACGAUAAAGCGGGUGAAAAGCCCGCUCGCCGGAAGACCAAGGGUUCCUGUCCAACGUUAAUCGGGGCAGGGUGAGUCGACCCCUAAGGCGAGGCCGAAAGGCGUAGUCGAUGGGAAACGGGUUAAUAUUCCCGUACUUGGUGUUACUGCGAAGGGGGGACGGAGAAGGCUAUGUUGGCCGGGCGACGGUUGUCCCGGUUUAAGCGUGUAGGUGUGUGUUCCAGGUAAAUCCGGUUCACUUUAACACUGAGGCGUGAUGACGAGGCACUACGGUGCUGAAGCAACAAAUGCCCUGCUUCCAGGAAAAGCCUCUAAGCAUCAGGUAACAUCAAAUCGUACCCCAAACCGACACAGGUGGUCAGGUAGAGAAUACCAAGGCGCUUGAGAGAACUCGGGUGAAGGAACUAGGCAAAAUGGUGCCGUAACUUCGGGAGAAGGCACGCUGACACGUAGGUGAAGUGAUUUACUCAUGGAGCUGAAGUCAGUCGAAGAUACCAGCUGGCUGCAACUGUUUAUUAAAAACACAGCACUGUGCAAACACGAAAGUGGACGUAUACGGUGUGACGCCUGCCCGGUGCCGGAAGGUUAAUUGAUGGGGUCAGCGCAAGCGAAGCUCCUGAUCGAAGCCCCGGUAAACGGCGGCCGUAACUAUAACGGUCCUAAGGUAGCGAAAUUCCUUGUCGGGUAAGUUCCGACCUGCACGAAUGGCGUAAUGAUGGCCAGGCUGUCUCCACCCGAGACUCAGUGAAAUUGAACUCGCUGUGAAGAUGCAGUGUACCCGCGGCAAGACGGAAAGACCCCGUGAACCUUUACUAUAGCUUGACACUGAACAUUGAGCCUUGAUGUGUAGGAUAGGUGGGAGGCUUUGAAGUGUGGACGCCAGUCUGCAUGGAGCCGGCCUUGAAAUACCACCCUUUAAUGUUUGAUGUUCUAACGUGGACCCGUGAUCCGGGUUGCGGACAGUGUCUGGUGGGUAGUUUGACUGGGGCGGUCUCCUCCUAAAGAGUAACGGAGGAGCACGAAGGUUGGCUAAUCCUGGUCGGACAUCAGGAGGUUAGUGCAAUGGCAUAAGCCAGCUUGACUGCGAGCGUGACGGCGCGAGCAGGUGCGAAAGCAGGUCAUAGUGAUCCGGUGGUUCUGAAUGGAAGGGCCAUCGCUCAACGGAUAAAAGGUACUCCGGGGAUAACAGGCUGAUACCGCCCAAGAGUUCAUAUCGACGGCGGUGUUUGGCACCUCGAUGUCGGCUCAUCACAUCCUGGGGCUGAAGUAGGUCCCAAGGGUAUGGCUGUUCGCCAUUUAAAGUGGUACGCGAGCUGGGUUUAGAACGUCGUGAGACAGUUCGGUCCCUAUCUGCCGUGGGCGCUGGAGAACUGAGGGGGGCUGCUCCUAGUACGAGAGGACCGGAGUGGACGCAUCACUGGUGUUCGGGUUGUCAUGCCAAUGGCACUGCCCGGUAGCUAAAUGCGGAAGAGAUAAGUGCUGAAAGCAUCUAAGCACGAAACUUGCCCCGAGAUGAGUUCUCCCUGAGACUUAGAGUCUCCUGAAGGAACGUUGAAGACGACGACGUUGAUAGGCCGGGUGUGUAAGCGCAGCGAUGCGUUGAGCUAACCGGUACUAAUGAACCGUGAGGCUUAACCUU
This 2904-nucleotide ribosomal RNA is filed under the name Salmonella enterica subsp. enterica serovar Bredeney. Its description in RNAcentral is "bacterial LSU rRNA". It matches the Rfam family "Bacterial large subunit ribosomal RNA". The record is from RNAcentral. Lineage: Bacteria; Pseudomonadati; Pseudomonadota; Gammaproteobacteria; Enterobacterales; Enterobacteriaceae.